GAGGGAAUAGCUUAGUGGUAGAGCGCAUGCUUAGCAUGCAUGAGUUAGCAUGCAUGAGGUCCUGGGUUCAAUCCCCAAUACCUCCU
RNAcentral lists this transfer RNA (86 nucleotides) under Camelus bactrianus (Bactrian camel). It matches the Rfam family "tRNA". Rfam says of the family: Transfer RNA (tRNA) molecules are approximately 80 nucleotides in length. Their secondary structure includes four short double-helical elements and three loops (D, anti-codon, and T loops). Further hydrogen bonds mediate the characteristic L-shaped molecular structure. tRNAs have two regions of fundamental functional importance: the anti-codon, which is responsible for specific mRNA codon recognition, and the 3' end, to which the tRNAs corresponding amino acid is attached (by aminoacyl-tRNA synthetases). tRNAs cope with the degeneracy of the genetic code in two manners: having more than one tRNA (with a specific anti-codon) for a particular amino acid; and 'wobble' base-pairing, i.e. permitting non-standard base-pairing at the 3rd anti-codon position. The record is from Rfam by way of RNAcentral. Lineage: Eukaryota; Metazoa; Chordata; Mammalia; Artiodactyla; Camelidae. RNAcentral also lists the same sequence under 2 other names.